Molecule: ribosomal RNA, 253 nt
Filed under: uncultured bacterium
Lineage: Bacteria
Description: partial 16S ribosomal RNA
Rfam family: Bacterial small subunit ribosomal RNA
Source: RNAcentral
UACGUAGGGUGCAAGCGUUGUCCGGAAUUAUUGGGCGUAAAGAGCUCGUAGGCGGUCUGUCGCGUCGGCUGUGAAAACUCGGGGCUCAACCCCGAGCCUGCAGUCGAUACGGGCAGACUAGAGUGCGGUAGGGGAGACUGGAAUUCCUGGUGUAGCGGUGAAAUGCGCAGAUAUCAGGAGGAACACCGGUGGCGAAGGCGGUUCUCUGGGCGUUAACUGACGCUGAGAAGCGGAAGUGUGGGGAGCAAACAGG